GACGAACGCUGGCGGCGUGCUUAACACAUGCAAGUCGAGCGGCGCGGCGAAGGGGUGAGUAACGCGUGAGUAACUGCCCCCCUCUCUGGGAUAACAGAUGGAAACGGCUGCUAAUCCCGGAUAGUGGGGGAUGACUCGCGGCCUAUCAGCUUCUUGGUGGGGUAGUGGCCUACCAAGGCGACGACGGGUACCCGGCCUGGGGGGGGGACCGGCCACAUUGGGCUGAGAGACGGCCCAAACUCCAACGGGAGGCAGCAGUGGGGAAUAUUGCACAAUGGGGGAAACUCUGAUGCAGCAACGCCGCGGGCGGGAUGACGGCCUUCGGGUUGUAAACCGCUUUCAGCCAUGACGCGGUAGUGGCAGAAGAAGCACCGGCUAACUACGUGCCAGCAGCCGCGGUAAUAC
RNAcentral lists this ribosomal RNA (405 nucleotides) under uncultured bacterium. RNAcentral's name for it is "partial 16S ribosomal RNA". It matches the Rfam family "Bacterial small subunit ribosomal RNA", at positions 28 to 526 of the family's 1533-position model. The record is from RNAcentral.